AGCGGCGGACGGGUGAGUAACGCGUGGGAACCUGCCCUAUACAGGGGGAUAACAGUUAGAAAUGACUGCUAAUACCGCAUAAGCGCACGGAGCCGCAUGGCGCUGAGUGAAAAACGAUAGUGGUAUAGGAGGGACCCGCGUCUGAUUAGGUAGUUGGUGGGGUAACGGCCCACCAAGCCGACGAUCAGUAGCCGACCUGAGAGGGUGACCGGCCACAUUGGGACUGAGACACGGCCCAAACUCCUACGGGAGGCAGCAG
This 259-nucleotide ribosomal RNA is filed under the name uncultured bacterium. RNAcentral describes it as "partial 16S ribosomal RNA". It matches the Rfam family "Bacterial small subunit ribosomal RNA", at positions 94 to 354 of the family's 1533-position model. The record is from RNAcentral.